ACAAAUAAAAUAAAUAAAAAAGAGAAAAAAAACCUGAUUUAAUAGCGGGUCGGGUCACCUGUGAUGUUGGUUUAAAGUGCUAGAAUAGGACUCAUUUCUUUGUCUUUCUCUCUUCAAUCUUCAACCAAGAGACAAGACCCACCCACCCAGAAAUUGAUGUCUGCCACCACCAAGCCGUCCGACGAUCGCCAUCUUGCGCUGGCGUAGCCUCACCUUUUGCGUAUCCCUUCAACCCCUUCUUCUCUUUGGCCGAACCAGAUUUUCAAGAAAACCUUUGCAAUUGCCUAAAUCUAAGCCCAAGACCUUGACAUCCACCUGCCUUUACUAACCCAGAGAGCCCAGACCUUAGCAAAUUUCACCGUCACCAUACAUCAACCAAGAAAUUAACCUCUUUUUGUUUUUUCCUCCAUCUUGUGGCGCCACUUUAUCCUUCCUUCACCAGCGGCGCAGCACCUAUCUUUCCCUUUUCUACCCGAAACCCUAGCCAAGAACAACAAGCGUCUCCUCUAUUACCCGCAAUUCCCUUAAAAAACUUAAAAGCUUUACCACUUACUAUCCUUUAGUCUAAAAUCGACUUGAAAGGCACAAGGAAUCCCAGAAGCCUUUGAGUCGAAAGCCCCAAAAAUUCUUUGUAUAAACAGUUUUGUAUUGCUUGUGGAUUGUGGGUUUGGGUUUGGUGGAUUUUCUAUUUGUAGGCUAAUUGAAUUUGCUAUGUGUGUUACCUCUAUUUCUGGAUUGAUGUGAAUUCCAUUUGAUUCUUCUGGGUUAUUGAUUGAUUCUAGAACCUACUUUUUUUGGCUAAGAAUUCCAUGCUUUGCUGAUUGUGUGUGGCCUCUAAAUUGCUUUCCUAAUUGUUGUCUACUGUUUUGAGAUUUUUCUGCCAAUAGUUCUUCUGAUCUCCUAUUAAUUUUUUUUGAAUUGUCUUGUGGCACUUGGUGGAUUAGGUGAGGCUGACCUGCUGCGACUGAACUCCUAUUGAUUUCUUCUGAUUUGUGCUCGUUUGAGACUUGUUACUGAUCUAUGAGGCACGGUUUUGGAUGAUUCCUUUGUGAUCUCUGCUACCUGCUUUCUCUUGCUUGAUUGUUAAAUUUUUCCUCUAUUAAACUUUUUAAAUUAAUUAUUUUUUGGUUUAAUUCAUUACUUCUUGUGAUGUACAAUGCCACCGACAGAGCAGUUAUUCUUCUUGUGAUAUUUUUAAAGUCUCUGGAAUGGCUUAAUCUUGGAAUGUUGACUAGUUGUUCCAGUUUAUUACCAAUGAUGUGAGAAAUAGACUUUAUUUUUGGGAUAAAAUUCCUUUUUUUAUUGAUGACAGAAAGUUCUUGGCUUUAGCAUAUUAUUUAUAACUAUUUUUAUAUCUCUUACUGAUUGUAGCAUUCACUUUUUGUAUCAGUAAACUUGUUUACUUCUAGUUUUUAAACUUUUUUAUUGUUUGUUGAGAUCAUUUGAAGUAACACAGCUAUGCGUUUUCAGGUCCCUAGGUCCUCCAAGGAGUUGUAUGAGGAUAAUGAAUAUGCUCUUUACACUGUCACAUUAUUUGGUUGUGUUGCAGACAAUUUCAGAACUAGUGCACUUGAAAGAGGCUUUCGAUAAACUGAUGCAAUAAAAAUAUUGUUCAGUAUGCACCUUCCCAACGUGUUCCAAAGCACUGGUCUAAAACAAAUGGUCAUGAAGGGACUAUAUUCAAAGAGGUCACUAUCUAACGGGAAACAGAGUGGAAGAGCUGAUGGGACAUCUAGUGGAAGUCCAAGUUCAGCAUCAUCCAAAAGAGGCUAUGAAAAGAAAAGGGGUUCUAGUUCAAUGGUUCUGUUCGAUGGUGUUUAGAUUGCACUCAAGGCAUUCAUGAAAAUGGUAUUCGAGAGUGAUGUUGUUGACCAACAAUCAGAGGCUCAAAAGUAAGGCUUUGAAAGGGACAAGAAAGCUAGUUCGAGGGACAUUUGGUCUAUCAUGGAUGGAAGGUUGUCUAAGAUGGAGGUGACCAUAUGGGAUGUGAAAGAGAAGCUUAACGAGGUAAAUGCUCACUUUUAGGUGAUAGACUCUAUGGAAAAAGAGCUUAAGCUCAAAAGGGAGUUACAAAUGGGGAGAUUCCCAAGCCCAAAAAGUUCAAGAGGACUAGGGUAGAAAAGGAAGUAAACAACUACCUAUAGAGGAUGGAACAGUACUUCAGAGCCAUAGGCAUAUGGGACGAUGCUACUAAGGUAAACAUUGCUUUAAUGUAUCUUUCUUAUGUUACCUUAUUGUGUUGAGGCAAAUUGUAUGAUGAUGUCAAGCACGAAAAUGCCAUGAUUGGAACUUGAUAGGAGUUUCAAAAUGAGUUUAGAUAGCAGUUUUACUUGGAGUAUGCUAAUGAUGAGGCAUGGGCAAAAUUAUGCCAAUUUACCUAAUAGAAGGACAUAAGAGAGUAUAUCUAAAAGUUUUUUUAAUUGAUGUUUUAAAUUUCAUAUUUAAGCAAGAUCGAGGGUUUAUUUGCCUUGAUGGAUGGGUUCAAGCCAUAGAGUUACAAAUGAGAGGAAUUCAUAAGUUGGCCAAAGUCAUGACUACAACUGAAUCUUUGGUGAAGUUCAAAUCACAAAAUAAGUUAGAGUCUACCAAGCCCAAUAAGAAGGGUAAGGACAAAAAGGAUCGAAAACAUCAGUAUAGAGGAACAGACCAUGAUCAAUAUUUCAAAAAGAGAGACAAAAAUCAUUCAAACAAGGAGUCAGAGGUUAAAAUAGUAAAAAUUGGCUCAAUCGUGCUCAUUGUUGUCCAAAGUAAGGGAAGUCGUAAGCCAAAGGGCUUCAUAUUUAUGGAUCUCGUAGCUAUAGGUAAUAAAGUGAGCAUACUAAUGGACAUAGGUGUUUCAUAUUUGUUUAUUUUAACUGAUAAAACCUAGAAACUUAGCUUAAAGGUACAUAAAAAGAUUGGUACAAACAAGAUGGUGAACACCAAUGAAGUUUCACCUAUUGAAGUGGCGUGGGGAGUGGAGUUACAAUUGGAAACUGAAAGGGCAAAGAGACCAUCGAGGUAAUACCCUUGGAUGAUUAUGAAUUUGUGAUUGGGUAAAAUUUUCUUGUUUGGAUUAACGCCCUCAUUAUGUUUUUUACAAACUGUAUAUGCAUUCUAGAGGCAUAGUGCCAAUGUUUUAUACUAUUAAGACGUAGGUCUAAGAUUUGGUCCAAGGUGUUGUCGACCAUUCAAUUCGUUAAAGUAAUGAGUAGGGAUGAAGACACCUUUUUAACUAUCCUGAAGUAUGAGAAACUGAGGAAGAAGGAAAUUGACACCCCUUUGGAGGUGCUAGAUGUGCUAAAAACUUUUAACGAUGUGAUGUCUGUAAAGUUACCUAGCAAGUUACCACAUAAAAAAGAGGUAGACCAUAAGAUCGAGUUGGUGCCUGAGGCCAAGCCAUCAGCCAAGGCCCUUUAUUGAAUUCUCUACAAGAUUUGGAAGAGCUGAGGAUAUAGCUCGGGGAGUUGAUUGAUGUUGGCUACAUUAGGCCAUCUAAAAUGCCAUAUGAUGUCUCAAUUUUGUUCCAACGCAAGCAUGAUGGAUCCUUACAGUUGUGUAUUGACUACUAAGCUUGGAAUAAGUCGACCAUCAAAAACCAAUAUCCUAUCCUACUCAUUAUGGACUUGUUCAAUCAACUUAGAGGUGUAAGGUGGUUCACCAAGUUGGAUUUGAGGUUAAGCAAUUACCAGGUCAAGAUUGUAAAGCAAGAUGAGCCCAAGACAACGUGUGUCACUUAUUAUGGCUCUUAUGAGUUCUUGGUCAUGCCAUUCGAACUCACCAAUGUCUCGAUAACAUUCUGCACACUCAUGAACAAGUUACUUCAAUCAUUUCUUGAUUGUUUUAUAGUGAUUUAUCUUGAUGAUAUUGUGAUCUAUAAGCAGAUGUUGAAAGAGCAUGUAGACCACUUGAGAUAGGUGUUCAAGAUGUUACAAGAGCAUGAAUUGUAUGUGAAAAGAAGUGCUCAUUUGCCCAGUGAAAAAAAUCAUUUCUAGGUCACAUAAUGGGAGGUGGCAAGAUAUGUAUAGAUGCAGGCAAAGUUCGUGCCAUCCUGGAAUGGGAACUGCCAACCAGGGUAACUGAGUUAAAGUCAUUCCUUAGGCUGGUCAAUUACUACAGGCAUUUCAUUAAAGGUACUUAGCCAUAACCACACCAUUGAUUGAUUUGCUCAAAAAGAGAAUAGCGUAAGAAUAGAGCACUGAAUGCCAGGAAACUUUUGAUUAGUUAAAGAGGCCAAAUGAUCGAAGAGCCAGUUUUGGCAUUGCUAAACCAUGUCAAGUCGUAUGAGGUGCAUAUGGAUGUAUUAGACUUUACGAUAAAGGGAAUGCUGAUGCAAGAGAACCAUUCGAUCGCAUUUAAGAGUUGAAAGCUUAAUGAGAUCGAGCGUAGGUACAUGGUCUAAGAGAUGAAUAUUACAGUAAUGGUGUACUAUUUGCACACUUGGCAGCAUUACUUGUUGGGGUCGAGGUUCAUAGUUAUGAGGGAUAAUGUGGCAACCAACUACUUCCUAACACAAAAGAAGUUAUCCCAUAAAUAACCCUACUGGUAGGAUUUUCUUAUAGAAUUUGAUUACAGGUUAGAGUAUAAGCUAGGCGAGUGAACAUAGUGGUUGAUGCCCCGAGUAGGAAGGCAAACCUUACUGCCAUUGGCCAACCAAAGGGGUCUUUGGUGCUACGCAUCAGGGAAAGGCUCGCACAUAAUCCUUUAACUAAAGCUUUCAUCAAGUAUGCCAAGCAGGGUAAAACUAGAUGGUUUUGGUUAUAGGAUCACUUGUUGUACACUAAAGGUAAUAGGUGGUUAUGCCAUAGUAUGAAAAGCUUUGUAAGGAGGUUUUGCACGAGUGCCAUGAUUCAAGGUGGCUGCUCAUAUGAGGUGAGCCAUACUUUAGCCUUGUUAGAGGAUCAAUACUAUUGGCUGCAUAUGAAGGAUGAUAUGAAGCUUUAUGUGAAAACUUACCUUGUGUGCUAAUAAGAUAAGGUAGAGCUUAAAAAAUCAUAUGGUUUUUUGGAAGUUGUUCCCCAUACCAGAGUGACUAUAAGAGCUCAUCACUUUAGACUUCAUAGUUAAUCUACCUAAGGUAGUGGGGUUCAGAAGCAUCAUGGUAGUGGUGGAUAGGUUUUUCAAGUAUGGGAUUUUCAUUCCAGCAAUCAAGGAGUACCCAACCGAUGAGAUAGCCCAUUUGUGCCUAAAAAUAUGGUGAAGUACUAAGGAGUACCGAUGACUAUUGUUAGUGAUCGAGAUGGGUGAUUCACGGGACAGUUCUGGACUAAGUUAUUCAAGCUAUUUAGGUCAAAUUUGAAUUUUUCCACCAGCAUGCAUCCACAGACUGAUGAGCAGAUCGAGUAAGUGAAUAGACUAUUGGAGGUCUACCUUAGGUACUAUGUGAGUACCAUGCAAUGAAACUGGCCCAAGUUGCUAGAUGUCGUUUAGUUCUGAUAUAAUUUACAAAGAGGUGAAGUAAUUAACCAGAGUUCUUUUGAGAUUGUGACAAGUCAACAAUCGCUAACACCCGAUUCAAUUGUUAUAAGUUAUACAAGGCCUAAUCCAAUAGUGUACAAGUUUGCCAAAGCUUAGUAGGAGCAAGCAAACUCGACCAAAGUCUAUCUGCAUAAAGCCACGAAGAGGUAAAAGAAGUGGAUAGACCAAAAAAAGAGGGACAUACAAUUCCAAGUAGAGGACUUGGUCUUGGUGAAGCUACACCUCAUCAUACACCAUAAGGGUCUGCAUAAAGGCUUAGUCAAGAGGUGCAAAGAACCUUUUAAAGUUUUGAAUAGGGUAGGCAAGGUUGCCUACAAGCUAGAUAUGCCACUUAAGUUAAAGGUACACUCGAUGUUUCAUGUUAGCAUACUUAAGUCAUUUUAUAAAGACGGGAGAGAUCUAAGACAGCUUGAGUCAAGGUGUGUACCAUUGAGAGCUAAGGUCCUAUAUGAGAGAGAAGUCCAAAGCAUCAUUGUUGGUCAAAAAGUAAUGCAAUAAAAUUAUCAGCCAAGAUAAGAGUACUUGAUGCACUAGAAAAGACUUCUAGACAAUGAGGUGAGCUGGGAACUAGCAAAGGACUUAUGGUAGUUUUAAGACUAGAUUAGGCAGUUUCACGUAAAGGAUGCAAUGAAGGGAUCACGUAAUUAGAUUGAGAAGAAUGUCAUGCAUUGGACGGGUGUACUAAGAACUAAGGUCGAAGCAUAUGUGGCCAAGGUUCAACACCAGGGAUAGUUACGGAUGAUGGCAUAAUAAGCGUAUGAGAUAAGUCCAGAUCACCUAGAUAACAUGCAAGCCUGCCCGUACAAUUAAGACUAGGCUCGCACCAUGUUCGCACCACACUUAGGUGGACCUAAGAGAGCUUGGUCAAUCCAAAAUCUUUCAAAGGCAUCUAGAAUCAGUAACAUUCAGUAGGAGGAUUUAGUUGAUCUUGAAAAUAAAAAAGAGCCUCAUGUAAUAUGUGUAAUCAUGUGUAAUCUUAAUUUUUAGGAAUCUUGUAAAUCUUUUUAUUUUAGGAGAUAGCUGUAAGUAAAGUUAAUGGCCUCAACUAUAGAUAAAGGGUUGCUUCACCUUCAGUUGCACAUCAUCAGACACAUUAUUCUUUAGUAAUACACUGUAUAUUCUCGCACUCUUUGUUUUCUCUCUAACUUACGUAUUCUGCCUUUCUAGCUGUUUGUUUACCUGCAUGCUUGAUUUUUAGGUUGACUUAGUCCUAAGGAAUACAUCCCUGGUCUAAGGCCGCAUAGAUUUUAAGUCAAAGGUUGGAGCUCGUGACAAUAAUUCUUGGUUCAUUUAUUAGUGUGAUUGAUAGCCUAAUUGUACCUUUUACUAGCAUCGACUUGUUCCUAAACUAAUUAAGGUGGUAGUGAAAGGCUUCAACAUCUCCUUAGUGAUUCUCAUCUUAACAUAAUAAAAUAGUGAAGGAUGUUAGUUGAGUUCCCAUUGUCCAAUAGUAUCCUUUUCACUACAUGUAUACCGCGACUUGUAUAAUGAUAGCAUCAUCAUGCAAGAAUUAGAUUCUUUUUAAAUUUUUGAGUUAAAAAAGAUUGAUUCAUCCUUCCAACUUUUUUAUUUCUUGACCAUGGACCUAAUAGCCAUAACUAUUCCCUAGUCAAACUCUUUUUUGGCUGAUGUUGAAAUCCUAUCAGUUAUUACAAUAAUGAUACUUGUAAUGGGUCUAUUAUCCAUAUCAUUUCUUUCUUUGUUUCUUUGGUCAAGCCUGCGAUCAAUAUUACCUCAGUUAUCACCUUUUCUUCUUUCAUCUUGGUUUCUUUUUAACUAUUCUCUUUUGUUUCCACUUUUGAAACUCCCCUUCAUCUAUUCUUAUCUUUUAUAGUCCCUAAAUCUGUUCAGCCAGCCUUUUUUAAUCAAAUUUUCUAUUUCAUUCAUCAAGUCGAUAUAGUUUUAGGUAUUGUGGUUGUGAUCCAUAUGAAAAGCAUAUCUUUCAGUUAGGUAUCUUUUAUUUUUAUUCCUUAGUGGCUUGGGCCAUCUAAGCUUAGGGUUUGAUAAUUCUUUAUUUUAUGGAAUUAUCCUAAGCUUAAUUAUAUGAAUUUUAUCAUCCUAAACUUAAUUUUAGCUUAUUCUUUAGCAAAUUCUUGCAAAUUUUCUUAAGUUUGUUUAUUUUGUCUUUUGUGUGGGUUAUU
Non-coding RNA from Durio zibethinus, 7598 nucleotides. Lineage: Eukaryota; Viridiplantae; Streptophyta; Magnoliopsida; Malvales; Malvaceae. The record is from RefSeq and is a predicted model, not a curated record.